Molecule: long non-coding RNA, 227 nt
Filed under: Haliotis rubra (blacklip abalone)
Lineage: Eukaryota; Metazoa; Mollusca; Gastropoda; Lepetellida; Haliotidae
Description: uncharacterized LOC124271326, transcript variant X1
Source: RNAcentral
GCCAGGUGAGUCGAGGGUCCUGGCUGAGUGACCUAAUUGCCAUCUGUGGCGAUGAUUCCUACUCCCAACCACGAACGUUUAGAAUCACUCUUGGAUAGAGUAAGCUGGGAGCAUAAAACAAGGACAGUGAUCCUCGCUGGCCCGCCACCUGUCUGGGAAAUUAUGAAAUUGUGAAAAUUCAGAUGUUAAUGACAACAUUCUCAAAAUAAAGAUUUGUUUGCAAAUAA